CAGCGCCGCGGUAAAACAGAGGGUGCGAGCGUUAAUCGGAUUUACUGGGCGUAAAGCGUGCGUAGGCGGCUUCUUAAGUCGGAUGUGAAAUCCCUGAGCUUAACUUAGGAAUUGCAUUCGAUACUGGGAAGCUAGAGUAUGGGAGAGGAUGGUAGAAUUCCAGGUGUAGCGGUGAAAUGCGUAGAGAUCUGGAGGAAUACCGAUGGCGAAGGCAGCCAUCUGGCCUAAUACUGACGCUGAGGUACGAAAGCAUGGGGAGCAAACAGGAUUAGAUACCCCGGUAGUCCCUGUCUCUUAUACC
RNAcentral lists this ribosomal RNA (301 nucleotides) under uncultured bacterium. RNAcentral describes it as "partial 16S ribosomal RNA". It matches the Rfam family "Bacterial small subunit ribosomal RNA", at positions 509 to 808 of the family's 1533-position model. The record is from RNAcentral.